GUGACUCUCGAAAGCAGGCAGAUCGUUCCGAGCACUGGUUCCGAGCAGUUUGAAACGUUAAUUUACUGCGUGACAUUUUUCACGAGUAAUAAAAUCAGUAUAAAGUGAUUUUGUUGUGCAAGUACAGAAGUAAAAUUCGAUACUGUCGCUGACCGAACUUCAAGAAGUACAAGAAAGCUUAUCGAAAAAAAAUGUCUUAUUUAUUUAAAGUUUGGUCGGCCAAUAGAAAACAAAAAAUCUCAUUGGUAAUUCAUCAUUCGGAUAACAUGUUACCUGAACUUAUUACAAAAAGUAAUAGCAAACUUGGUAUUAAUGGUUCCACUCUUGUUAUGGAAAAGGAUGGUACGAAUAUCGAUGAUAAUGAUGUUCUAAAAUUUUGUUCCGGCGAAACUUUUAUGUUACUGCAAGCAGAAGAAUUUUGGUCACCUCAAAAUGAGACGGAAUUACGCAGUACAGCAUCAGCGGAUACUCUAAGUCUAAGUGAUUCUGCAUCUACUUUGUCAUCUUUGUCAAGUACAUGACAUGCUUCAUCUCCAAUAACUGUGUCGCAUAUUAAAUCAGACAAUUAUGAAACUUGGACAAAUUUUCAUAUACCUUGGGACAAUUUGGAAUCUACAGUGCUUAAAGAAUUAGAAGCAGGAAACCGUAGCAAAUAUGUAAUACAUGCUGUUGUAAAUCGUAUAGUUUCAGAAAUGAGAAACAUACAAGAAUUUAUCCCAUCUAAAGCAUUUAAAAUAGUUGCUAAAAACGUCAUCGAAAAAUAUCCUCAAAUAUUCAAAGAUAUGGAUGAAGAUGGUAAACGUUUCGGAGAUGGAAGUCAUACAUCAACCCAGUGAACACAGUUAUAUUAAUGUUAUAUUGCUGUAACAAAAUGAAAUGUAACAAAUAAUAUUACAAAAGCAUUUUGUGUAA
Long non-coding RNA from Ooceraea biroi (clonal raider ant), 912 nucleotides. RefSeq lists it as uncharacterized. The record is from RefSeq and is a predicted model, not a curated record. NCBI's taxonomy places the organism in Eukaryota, Metazoa, Arthropoda, Insecta, Hymenoptera, Formicidae.